Molecule: long non-coding RNA, 2028 nt
Filed under: Nicotiana tabacum (common tobacco)
Lineage: Eukaryota; Viridiplantae; Streptophyta; Magnoliopsida; Solanales; Solanaceae
Description: long non-coding RNA (NTAB_LNC004908)
Source: RNAcentral
GGGACGAUAACGUGAAAAUACAUGUUGGAAAAAAAAAAGGGAAUUUCAGCGGCUUCUCGAUUCUUCCAAGUCUUCUCCUUUCCACUUAUAAAUAAUCAGGGGAUCCCACGCCAUAUUUGCUGUCAAAAAACUUGUGUCCAAAUUUCUACGUAACCUUAAGCUGACCCCAUCUCCACCUUCAAUCUGGUAAGCUUUCUUUUUCUCAGAAAGCCUGGGUUUUGAUUUUUUGUUUUUUUUAAAUGAUUCGAUCUUUCUUUUAAUAAUUUUGCAUGUGUUUAUGUUUUGUUUCCAGGUUCUUGUUCAGAGCAAUUUAUUGUUAGAUCUUUGUUUGGCUGUUCCAGAAUCGAGAAUGAGUCAUAUCCUUACGAUAUGUUCCUUUUCUCUGAUUUAAGAUCACGCUAAUAUCGAUCCAAUUCUUUGUUUUGAUGAACAAGAUUCUCUUAUCUUCUACUCCCUCUCCCUCUGUUCCAGUUUAUGUGAACCUAUUUCCUUUUUGGUCCGUUCCAAAAAGAAUGAACCCUUUCUAAAUUUGGUAACAAUUUAGCUUAAAGUUGCGUAACUUUAAGCUUUUAUAACCACACAAAUACUCCAUUUGGACUUGUUUAGAAUCACAAGUUCCAAACGGAGGGAGUAUUCGAUUGCCGAGAAAUUGAGAAAAAAUAUCCAAAAUUAAAGAUUUUUUAUUUAAUUUUGUUGGGGUAAUCUAUUAAAUUGGGAAUCCCCUUUCGAGAUAUAUCCUCAAUUGGCUCGGUAUCCAAAGAAUUGGUUUAGUUAGGACCUAAAGAUUGAAUUUUUGUGGCUCAAAGAAUGGCAUUUUUGUUUCUGAUUGUUGUCUGUUUUUGACUUAACUCAAGCUAACGCGGAAAUCAGAGAGAUAGAGAUCGUGAAAGGGCACAAGCCAGGGCAGGUAGCAAACCCAAACAGCCCAAAGGUGAUGGAUUGACCCCUGAACAAAGACGAGAAAGGUUCUUUCUUUCCUCCUAAACAACCCUCAAUUUCAUUGUGUUUAGUACGACGGAAGUUAAUGAAGUUAUUUUUCGUGAAAAUGCUUUUCCACGAUAUGUUUUUUUUUUUAAAUAAAAUUAUUUUUCAACGUUUAAUUGAGAGCUCAAAGAAAACUUACGUGGUAAAUAUUAAAAAUUAAUCCUAAUAUAAUGUUUUGAUGAAACUAUUAGAAUUUAUAGUCUUUAAAAAUGAUUUUCCGCCAUAUAUGAGACCAGUUUUUCUCCUUCUGAAUGAAAAAUAUUUUGUAGAAAGUAAACUUCGUCGAAUAUAUUGAAAAAUAAUUCCGUCCUACCAGACAAACUCUAGCUGUUUUUAUCCAUUGAAGCUAACGUGGGGUAUUCUUGUUUAUGAUUUGAACAGAGACGCAAAGGCACUUCAAGAAAAAGCAGCAAGGAAAGCGGCGCAGGCUGCUGGUGGUGGAAAUAACCAAUCUGAUAGUAAACUAAUUAAGAAGAAAUAGUAGAAUUUAGCAAGGAAAGUUGUGUUGUUGAUACAGGAGUAGGUAUAAGGGAAUCUUGUGGAUGAAUCAGGCGUGGUUUCUGGAUAUUGGAGGUCAUUGUUGUUCAUGUCACAGCAAAGUGUUUGAAAUAUUUGCUUCCAUUUGUUCAUGUCAUUUGUCAAGUAUUUGGAAUAUUCUACUUUAGUUUUGGCAUGUAUGGUCCUUAACUGUUUGUAUCUGAUUUGCAAUGAAAUUUCCUAUUGUGAUUAACUUACGCUAAGUGGUAACUACUGAUAUUAGUUUAGUUACUUAAAUUUGGAUGUUCCGUUAAAUGCUAGUGUUUCUCUUGUGGUAGUCAUAUAGUUUAUCACAUUUACACCAAGUUGAGAACAGGAUAGAAUUUGAACUUUGAAGAUUCCAGCUGUUGCUGAGGAUAUCAUAUGUAAAAGUUAAUAAUAAAGGAUUGAAAUUUUUCUCUUAUGUAAUAGUCUCUGUGAACUCACCUUUAUUGCUCCUCAAUAAUCACAAACAAAAAUUUAGGUAAUUUUUGUAAUUCUUAUCUUCUUUUUUUUAAUACAAAUCAG